This 245-nucleotide ribosomal RNA is filed under the name Salmonella enterica subsp. enterica serovar Infantis. RNAcentral's name for it is "partial 23S ribosomal RNA". It matches the Rfam family "Bacterial large subunit ribosomal RNA", at positions 1556 to 1782 of the family's 2925-position model. RNAcentral also lists the same sequence under 1 other name. The record is from RNAcentral. Lineage: Bacteria; Pseudomonadati; Pseudomonadota; Gammaproteobacteria; Enterobacterales; Enterobacteriaceae.
CUGAGGCGUGAUGACGAGGCACUACGGUGCUGAAGCAACAAAUGCCCUGCUUCCAGGAAAAGCCUCUAAGCAUCAGGUAACAUCAAAUCGUACCCCAAACCGACACAGGUGGUCAGGUAGAGAAUACCAAGGCGCUUGAGAGAACUCGGGUGAAGGAACUAGGCAAAAUGGUGCCGUAACUUCGGGAGAAGGCACGCUGACACGUAGGUGAAGUGAUUUACUCAUGGAGCUGAAGUCAGUCGAAG